Molecule: non-coding RNA, 72 nt
Filed under: Pseudomonas tolaasii NCPPB 2192
Lineage: Bacteria; Pseudomonadati; Pseudomonadota; Gammaproteobacteria; Pseudomonadales; Pseudomonadaceae
Source: RNAcentral
UGUGGGAGCUGGCUUGCCUGCGAUGGCGGUGUAUCAGUCACCGCCGCCAUCGCAGGCAAGCCAGCUCCCACA